This is a non-coding RNA of Peromyscus maniculatus bairdii (prairie deer mouse), 610 nucleotides long. Lineage: Eukaryota; Metazoa; Chordata; Mammalia; Rodentia; Cricetidae. The record is from RefSeq and is a predicted model, not a curated record.
GUAACCAAGGACAGCAAAGAACCCGCCCCUGCCUGAGCCGCUCUCCAAUCAACAGCCUCUCUUCCCGAAGUCUGCAGGAGUUCUUCCCGCCGAUUCGUCAACUGUCCCGCCUGUCAGAGUGUGCCUCUCGUGCAGAAUGCCUGGGGCACGUGACUGUGACGGCAUGAAUUGACGCAUGCGCGCCAUUCUCGGCGUUGCUGGCGGCGGCGCUUUUGCUCGCGACCGGGGGCCACCUAGAGCGCCCUUGGUUUUCUCACCUGCGCAACCCUUCCGGUUUUGAGCAGCAUUUAUCGUACUUCUCGCACACGCUUAGGGAAUGUCAACGGGUGCCCACAGGGAGGUGGCACUUUCUCCAAGUAAGAACAGGGAAAGAGAUCUCAGAGCUUCUCCCACACAAGAUUACAAGGUUCAUCACCUCCUCCCCUUCUCAGCAAAGACCCCUGAGGUUCAGCGCGAGUGAACAGAGAGCCGGUGGAUACCAGUCCCCUCCGGCAGCCAAUGUCAGAUCACUCUGCUACAACUUUACUGGUGAACCUGGACUAUGGAGGGAGCUCUCCCCUUAACACGGUCCCCCUCCUGCUGGGAGCGGGGACAAGACUGGGUCUGAGUC